This 460-nucleotide ribosomal RNA is filed under the name uncultured bacterium. RNAcentral describes it as "partial 16S ribosomal RNA". It matches the Rfam family "Bacterial small subunit ribosomal RNA", at positions 338 to 795 of the family's 1533-position model. The record is from RNAcentral.
CCUACGGGAGGCAGCAGUGAGGAAUAUUGGUCAAUGGACGAGAGUCUGAACCAGCCAAGUAGCGUGAAGGAUGACUGCCCGAUGGGUUGUAAACUUCUUUUAUAUGGGAAUAAAAUGUUCCACGUGUGGGAUUUUGUAUGUACCAUAUGAAUAAGGAUCGGCUAACUCCGUGCCAGCAGCCGCGGUAAUACGGAGGAUCCGAGCGUUAUCCGGAUUUAUUGGGUUUAAAGGGAGCGUAGGUGGAUUGUUAAGUCAGUUGUGAAAGUUUGCGGCUCAACCGUAAAAUUGCAGUUGAAACUGGCAGUCUUGAGCACAGUAGAGGUGGGCGGAAUUCGUGGUGUAGCGGUGAAAUGCUUAGAUAUCACGAAGAACUCCGAUUGCGAAGGCAGUUCACUGGACUGCAACUGACACUGAGGCUCGAAAGUGUGGGUAUCAAACAGGAUUAGAUACCCUUGUAGUC